RNAcentral lists this ribosomal RNA (671 nucleotides) under uncultured Bacilli bacterium. RNAcentral describes it as "bacterial SSU rRNA". It matches the Rfam family "Bacterial small subunit ribosomal RNA", at positions 70 to 721 of the family's 1533-position model. The record is from RNAcentral. Lineage: Bacteria; Bacillati; Bacillota; Bacilli.
CACCGGAGCUUGCUCCACCGGAAAAAGAGGAGUGGCGAACGGGUGAGUAACACGUGGGUAACCUGCCCAUCAGAAGGGGAUAACACUUGGAAACAGGUGCUAAUACCGUAUAACGAUCAAAACCGCAUGGUUUUGAUUUGAAAGGCGCUUUCGGGUGUCGCUGAUGGAUGGACCCGCGGUGCAUUAGCUAGUUGGUGAGGUAACGGCUCACCAAGGCCACGAUGCAUAGCCGACCUGAGAGGGUGAUCGGCCACAUUGGGACUGAGGCACGGCCCAAACUCCUACGGGAGGCAGCAGUAGGGAAUCUUCGGCAAUGGACGAAAGUCUGACCGAGCAACGCCGCGUGAGUGAAGAAGGUUUUCGGAUCGUAAAACUCUGUUGUUAGAGAAGAACAAGGAUGAGAGUAACUGUUCAUCCCUUGACGGUAUCUAACCAGAAAGCCACGGCUAACUACGUGCCAGCAGCCGCGGUAAUACGUAGGUGGCAAGCGUUGUCCGGAUUUAUUGGGCGUAAAGCGAGCGCAGGCGGUUUCUUAAGUCUGAUGUGAAAGCCCCCGGCUCAACCGGGGAGGGUCAUUGGAAACUGGGAGACUUGAGUGCAGAAGAGGAGAGUGGAAUUCCAUGUGUAGCGGUGAAAUGCGUAGAUAUAUGGAGGAACACCAGUGGCGAAGG